This 73-nucleotide transfer RNA is filed under the name Ovis aries (sheep). It matches the Rfam family "tRNA". Rfam says of the family: Transfer RNA (tRNA) molecules are approximately 80 nucleotides in length. Lineage: Eukaryota; Metazoa; Chordata; Mammalia; Artiodactyla; Bovidae. The record is from Rfam by way of RNAcentral.
UCCCUGGUGGCUCAGACGGUGAAAGCAUCUGCCUACAGUGCGGGAGACCUGGGUUCGAUCCCUGGCUUGGGAA